RNAcentral lists this ribosomal RNA (1307 nucleotides) under bacterium E2-72. RNAcentral describes it as "bacterial SSU rRNA". It matches the Rfam family "Bacterial small subunit ribosomal RNA", at positions 100 to 1401 of the family's 1533-position model. The record is from RNAcentral.
GACGGGUGAGUAAUGCUUAGGAAUCUGCCUAUUAGUGGGGGACAACAUCUCGAAAGGGAUGCUAAUACCGCAUACGUCCUACGGGAGAAAGCAGGGGAUCACUUGUGACCUUGCGCUAAUAGAUGAGCCUAAGUCGGAUUAGCUAGUUGGUGGGGUAAAGGCCUACCAAGGCGACGAUCUGUAGCGGGUCUGAGAGGAUGAUCCGCCACACUGGGACUGAGACACGGCCCAGACUCCUACGGGAGGCAGCAGUGGGGAAUAUUGGACAAUGGGGGGAACCCUGAUCCAGCCAUGCCGCGUGUGUGAAGAAGGCCUUAUGGUUGUAAAGCACUUUAAGCGAGGAGGAGGCUUUUUUGGUUAAUACCUGGGAUAAGUGGACGUUACUCGCAGAAUAAGCACCGGCUAACUCUGUGCCAGCAGCCGCGGUAAUACAGAGGGUGCAAGCGUUAAUCGGAUUUACUGGGCGUAAAGCGCGCGUAGGCGGCCAAUUAAGUCAAAUGUGAAAUCCCCGAGCUUAACUUGGGAAUUGCAUUCGAUACUGGUUGGCUAGAGUGUGGGAGAGGAUGGUAGAAUUCCAGGUGUAGCGGUGAAAUGCGUAGAGAUCUGGAGGAAUACCGAUGGCGAAGGCAGCCAUCUGGCCUAACACUGACGCUGAGGUGCGAAAGCAUGGGGAGCAAACAGGAUUAGAUACCCUGGUAGUCCAUGCCGUAAACGAUGUCUACUAGCCGUUGGGGCCUUUGAGGCUUUAGUGGCGCAGCUAACGCGAUAAGUAGACCGCCUGGGGGAGUACGGUCGCAAGACUAAAACUCAAAUGAAUUGACGGGGGCCCGCACAAGCGGUGGAGCAUGUGGUUUAAUUCGAUGCAACGCGAAGAACCUUACCUGGCCUUGACAUAGUAGAAACUUUCCAGAGAUGGAUUGGUGCCUUCGGGAAUCUACAUACAGGUGCUGCAUGGCUGUCGUCAGCUCGUGUCGUGAGAUGUUGGGUUAAGUCCCGCAACGAGCGCAACCCUUUUCCUUACUUGCCAGCAUUUCGGAUGGGAACUUUAAGGAUACUGCCAGUGACAAACUGGAGGAAGGCGGGGACGACGUCAAGUCAUCAUGGCCCUUACGGCCAGGGCUACACACGUGCUACAAUGGUCGGUACAAAGGGUUGCUACCUAGCGAUAGGAUGCUAAUCUCAAAAAGCCGAUCGUAGUCCGGAUUGGAGUCUGCAACUCGACUCCAUGAAGUCGGAAUCGCUAGUAAUCGCGGAUCAGAAUGCCGCGGUGAAUACGUUCCCGGGCCUUGUACACACCGCCCGUCACA